UACAGAGGUCUCAAGCGUUGUUCGGAUUCAUUGGGCGUAAAGGGUGCGUAGGCGGCGCGGUAAGUCGGGUGUGAAAUCUCGGAGCUUAACUCCGAAACUGCAUUCGAUACUGCCGUGCUUGAGGACUGGAGAGGAGACUGGAAUUUACGGUGUAGCGGUGAAAUGCGUAGAGAUCGGAAGGAACACCAGUGGCGAAGGCGGUUGCCUGGAGCUUUGCUGACGCUGAGGCGCGAAAGCGUGGGGAGCGAUCCGG
This 253-nucleotide ribosomal RNA is filed under the name uncultured bacterium. Its description in RNAcentral is "partial 16S ribosomal RNA". It matches the Rfam family "Bacterial small subunit ribosomal RNA", at positions 524 to 776 of the family's 1533-position model. The record is from RNAcentral.